CCUUCUUUCUGAAAGUUCUAGCGUCUCCUAGGAGCACCCGGCUAGGGACCAAACUUGCACCCGUGAGCCAUAGAAAGAGCAGGGCAAACAGAAGAACGCCCAGUUGCAACUCCUGAGUGUGAGCGAACUUUUCAGACUAUUAACCCUAACCAACCCAGACGGGGGUAGGACCGACCUGUGUUCCUGUCUGACCUGUGUUCCUGUCUCGAACAUUCCCCGCUCUGCUGUGGGUAACCACGUGGGUUCCUACUGGUCCAAGAGAGGUAGCAAUGGACAGCUGCUGAAAGCUGCUCUCUCCAGCUGCUGGAGGCCAGAGAGGACAGUUAGCGGGCACUAAAUGUGAGGGGCUGCACUUUUUCUGUUGGUGAACAUCUCUUCCAGUGGAAUGAAGGGACCUGUAACUCACUGAUAACAGUUCCAGGACCACAUUCCUUUCUGGUUAGCGUCUGUAAGGGCUUCAUAAGAACUCCUGUUUUGGAAAAGCCUCCCUCAAGACCUGUGGGUUAACGUACUGGUUUUAAACGUCCUGACGUUUUCUAUGCUUAAGAUCCUCCUUCUGUUGAUUUUGUCCAUGAGUAGGAUCUUGCCCAGCUAUAAUAUUGAUCACGAUUUAAAGUUUCAGUUUGGCAUAGUGUCAUACUGCCUUCUUUUUAAGACAAC
Molecule: long non-coding RNA, 660 nt
Filed under: Rattus norvegicus (Norway rat)
Lineage: Eukaryota; Metazoa; Chordata; Mammalia; Rodentia; Muridae
Description: long non-coding RNA NONRATT032253
Source: RNAcentral